CGUCAAAUCAUCAUGCCCCUUAUGACCUGGGCUACACACGUGCUACAAUGGCUGGUACAGAGGGCAGCGAAGCCGCGAGGCGGAGCGAAUCUCACAAAGCCAGUCUCAGUUCGGAUUGCAGGCUGCAACUCGCCUGCAUGAAGCAGGAAUUGCUAGUAAUCGCGGAUCAGCAUGCCGCGGUGAAUACGUUCCCGGGUCUU
RNAcentral lists this ribosomal RNA (200 nucleotides) under uncultured organism. RNAcentral describes it as "partial small subunit ribosomal RNA". It matches the Rfam family "Bacterial small subunit ribosomal RNA", at positions 1183 to 1382 of the family's 1533-position model. The record is from RNAcentral.